Molecule: ribosomal RNA, 253 nt
Filed under: uncultured bacterium
Lineage: Bacteria
Description: partial 16S ribosomal RNA
Rfam family: Bacterial small subunit ribosomal RNA
Source: RNAcentral
UACGUAGGGUGCGAGCGUUGUCCGGAAUUAUUGGGCGUAAAGGGCUCGUAGGCGGUUUGUCGCGUCGGGAGUGAAAACGCACAGCUUAACUGUGUGCUUGCUUCCGAUACGGGCAGACUAGAGGUAUGCAGGGGAGAACGGAAUUCCUGGUGUAGCGGUGAAAUGCGCAGAUAUCAGGAGGAACACCGGUGGCGAAGGCGGUUCUCUGGGACGGUACUGACGCUGAGACGCGAAAGCGUGGGGAGCGAACAGG